Ahaetulla prasina is the source of this 1968-nucleotide long non-coding RNA. RefSeq lists it as uncharacterized. Lineage: Eukaryota; Metazoa; Chordata; Lepidosauria; Squamata; Colubridae. The transcript is spliced from 3 exons. The record is from RefSeq and is a predicted model, not a curated record.
GGGAGGCAGAAGAGUCACACGGAAAGAAAUGUUUGCUGCAUAAACAGAGGGAUAGAAUCAAGAUCACGUGAAGUGUUAGUGCCACUUUAUAAUGCCUUGGGCAUUGAUGAUAUUACCUACUUGGGCAGUGAAGCAUCUUCAAAAAACAACCAAGUUCAGAGAGCUGCAAGGAUCUCACAGUUUAACCCUGAGCUACAACUAUUUUCUUCUAUUGAUGAAUAUAUUCUGCUGUUCCAACUGUCCUAGUUCUGCCCUUGGAGGCAACAGAGAACAAGCCGAAUUUUUCCUCUGUAUGACAACUUGUUUGAUAUCUGAAUACAGAAGAUCAUUAUAUACCUUCAACCUUCUCUUGUCCAAGCUACACUGGUCCAGUUGUUUUAACUGUCCACCAUACUAGGACUUGACCUGUAUUUUCUCAGUCCUAGUCCGGUAUUUAACCAUAAUAGCACCUCUUUACUAAUAGAGACAAAUCUGUCUAGCUUGUAACCACACAGGCAGAACCAGUUUCAAGAAACUGCUGUGGUCUCCUAAGGGAUUGUUUCGUCCAGAUCUAACUUGUGUUCAUCCCUGGCCUAGAGAUUGAAUUGGGUUCACAACUGGCUUAGGACCGGGCUAUUUACGGGACUGCCUACUGCCACCAACAGCCUCCCAUCAACCUGUGCGCUCCCACAGGGAGGGCCUCCUCGGAGUACCAUCAGUUAAACAAUGUCGACUGGCGGCCCCCGGGGGAGGGCCUUCUCUGUGGGGGCUCUUGCCCUCUGGAAUGAGUUGCCUCCGGGGCUUCGUCAACUCCCUGACCUCUGGACCUUCUGCCGCGAGCUGAAGACUCUUUUAUUCCAUUGAGCAGAGCUAGCCUAAAUAUGUAGUUUUAAUGAGGUUUUAGUUUUAUUGUUAUUGUUAGUUUUUAGUAUUUUGGCCAUAAAUUAUACUAAUUUUAUAUUGUUUUUAACUUGUAUUAUAUUGUGUUUUUAAACUGGCUGUUAACCGCCAUGAGUCCUUCGGGAGAAGGGCGGUAUACAAAUUCGAUUAUAAAUAAAUAAAAAUAAAUAAACUAUUGUGUACCUAUCGAUGUAUUUACGUGAACUUUCAAAUGGAUAAAAAUACAGCAUCCUUUCUUUGGGGCCCCUCUGCCUAAAAACACAUUGGAAAUUAGGAAAACAAGUGCAAUUUGGAUAAUUAGACUAUAUUUUUUAAAAAAAAAGACCAAUCAGAUGCUUGGUUUAACAAAUGAAAUCCACAAAAAGUGUUCCAGGGGUUAUGUUUGAAGCAAAUGCUAGACGUGUUUGGAUAUCUUGCUCAAGCUAUUUUUGAUAACUGUCAUAAGAGGAAGCUUCUACAAUUGGCCUUAUUGUGCACAAAGACUCUUGUGAGAUUAUUAUUAUUAAUUGCCUGUAGGACAAGUCUGAGUGAAAACAGCUGAGAAACGGUGCCAAGGAAGUAGAGAAAUUCAGGAAGAAAAAUCCGAACAUCAUUUUCGGUUUGUGGUGAAAUCCAAUUUUUUUUACUACAGGUUCUGUGGGCGUGGCUUGGUGGGCAAGGCAGGGGAAGGCUAUCACAAAAUCCACAUUCCCACCCCACUCCAGGGGAAGGAUACUGUAAAAUCCCCAUUCCCUCCCCACUCCUGGGGGAAGGAUGUUGCAAAAUCUCCAUUCCCACCACACUGUGGGGACAGCCAGAGAUGGUAUUUACCGGUUCUCUGAACUACUCAAAAUUUCUGCUACCGGUUCUCCAGAACCUAUGAGAACCUGCUGGAUUUCACCCCUGCCUUUGCCCCAAUAGAAACUCAAAUACUUCUGAUAAUAAACUUGGAGGCCAUUAAAUCUAUUUUUUAUAUUUAAAAAAUCUAAAAUCUAUCCCUCUCUGUGGCUAGUCAUAAAGAAAUCUCAAGGGAUUACCCACAUCGAAGAGCUGUAAUUUGAUUCUUAUGUGUUCUUAUGAGCUUCUUGUGAAAUGUGUCAUGUUACUGCA